This 421-nucleotide ribosomal RNA is filed under the name uncultured Actinomycetes bacterium. RNAcentral's name for it is "bacterial SSU rRNA". It matches the Rfam family "Bacterial small subunit ribosomal RNA", at positions 233 to 671 of the family's 1533-position model. Lineage: Bacteria; Bacillati; Actinomycetota; Actinomycetes. The record is from RNAcentral.
GCGGCCUAUCAGCUUGUUGGUGGGGUAAUGGCCUACCAAGGCAACGACGGGUAGCUGGUCUGAGAGGAUGAUCAGCCACACUGGGACUGAGACACGGCCCAGACUCCUACGGGAGGCAGCAGUGGGGAAUCUUGCGCAAUGGGCGAAAGCCUGACGCAGCAACGCCGCGUGCGGGAUGAAGGCCUUCGGGUUGUAAACCGCUUUCAGCAGGAACGAAAAUGACGGUACCUGCAGAAGAAGCACCGGCUAACUAUGUGCCAGCAGCCGCGGUAAUACAUAGGGUGCAAGCGUUGUCCGGAAUUAUUGGGCGUAAAGAGCUCGUAGGUCGUUUGUCGCGUCGAUUGUGAAAAUCUGAGGCUCAACCUCAGACCUGCAGUCGAUACGGGCAAACUAGAGUGUGGUAGGGGAGACUGGAAUUCCU